Molecule: ribosomal RNA, 465 nt
Filed under: uncultured bacterium
Lineage: Bacteria
Description: bacterial SSU rRNA
Rfam family: Bacterial small subunit ribosomal RNA
Source: RNAcentral
AGAACGAACGCUGGCGGCAGGCUUAGGCAUGCAAGUCGAACGGAUGAUAAGAGAGCUUGCUACGUCUUAAAGUCAGUGGCGCACGAGUGAGUAACGCGUGGGAAACUGCCCUUCACUGGGGAAUAACGUUUGGAAACGAACGCUAAUACCGCAUACGGCCCGCAAGGGGAAAGAUUUAUCGGUGAUGGAUGUGCCCGCGUUGGAUUAGCUAGUUGGUGGGGUAAUGGCCUACCAAGGCGAUGAUCCAUAGCUGGUCUGAGAGGACGAUCAGCCACGCUGGAACUGAGACACGGUCCAGACUCCUACGGGAGGCAGCAGCUAAGAAUAUUGGGCAAUGGAGGAAACUCUGACCCAGCCCAUGCCGCGUGAAUGAAGAAGGCCUUCGGGUUGUAAAGUUCUUUUAGUCAUGAAGAUGAUGACAGUAGUGACAGAAAAAGCACCGGCUAACUUCGUGCCAGCCGCUGC